RNAcentral lists this ribosomal RNA (497 nucleotides) under uncultured bacterium. Its description in RNAcentral is "partial 16S ribosomal RNA". It matches the Rfam family "Bacterial small subunit ribosomal RNA", at positions 28 to 507 of the family's 1533-position model. The record is from RNAcentral.
GAUGAACGCUGGCGGCGUGCCUAAUACAUGCAAGUCGAGCGAACAGACGAGGAGCUUGCUCCUUUGACGUUAGCGGCGGACGGGUGAGUAACACGUGGAUAACCUACCUAUAAGACUGGGAUAACUUCGGGAAACCGGAGCUAAUACCGGAUAACAUGUUGAACCGCAUGGUUCAACAGUGAAAGACGGUCUUGCUGUCACUUAUAGAUGGAUCCGCGCCGCAUUGGCUAGUUGGUAAGGUAACGGCUUACCAAGGCAACGAUGCGUAGCCGACCUGAGGGGGUGAUCGGCCACACUGGAACUGAGACACGGUCCAGACUCCUACGGGAGGCAGCAGUAGGGAAUCUUCCGCAAUGGGCGAAAGCCUGACGGAGCAACGCCGCGUGAGUGAAGAAGGUCUUCGGAUCGUAAAACUCUGUUAUUAGGGAAGAACAAAUGUGUAAGUAACUAUGCACGUCUUGACGGUACCUAAUCAGAAAGCCACGGCUAACUACGUG